Molecule: long non-coding RNA, 7265 nt
Filed under: Sus scrofa (pig)
Lineage: Eukaryota; Metazoa; Chordata; Mammalia; Artiodactyla; Suidae
Description: lncRNA (ENSSSCG00040022776.1)
Source: RNAcentral
GGGAUACAAUAUUAAAACAAAAUAUUCAGGAGUAUUUGUGCAUCUUAAAAAUUUUUAAGAACAUUCAGAUCCCCUUUCUCAGUGACUGAUAAUAUCUAUGAAAACUCUUGCUAGUUAUAAAGUACCAUACUAAUAUAAGAGAUUUUCCAUGAAGCAAAAACCCACUGACUUCUUGAUUCAUUUAGAUUUGUGAUGCUGUGUGUGUGGUAAAAACUCCCUUGCUUAGAAAACAUACACCAUAAGAUACACCAAAAGAUACAACAAAAUUUUCCAAAAUAUUUAGGGGUUCCUCCCUUCCCUCCUUUCUUCCUUCCUUCCCUCCCAAUACUGAAUUUCAAGCAACACAGUAAAUACUACAUAAAAGUAUACAAAAUGUUAAAAUUUACAACACAGUAAUUUUAAAGUUGAAGAAAAGUUUCUUUCCCCUCAAAAGACAAGGAUAAAAUUAUACAGGUAACAAGUCUAACAUGGAGAUUGCUAUGAUGCAGUUUUAUACAACUUUCAGUGGUAGCAUGUGAAAAGGAGCACCUUAGUCUGCAAGAAGGGUCAAGGCUUGCAAAAAAAGUGAAAUGAAUUGGAUUGAGGUUUAAUGGAGGAAGAGAAUUUGUCAGAUUGAGAAGCAGGAAAGGAUAUUUAAGACAAAGGGAAAAGCAUGUAUAAGAAUGUGGAGUAAACGUAGUGUAUUUAGGAAAUUAAAUAAGUUCAUAAACCCAAAGAUAUGGUAGGGCCAAAAUAUAAUAGACUCGUAUCAUGAAGAGCACACUAGGAAGGUAUAGGCCAUUUCAGGAAGUUUGGAAGCCAUUGAAUAACUUGAGCAGAGAAUUUGUACAAUCUAAUGUUUACAUUUUAGUUCUUAAUGUUUGCAGAAGACUGUGACACUGUCUUGAUGGAUCAUGAUUUAUCCAAAUGUGUGGGAGUAUAAUCCCAUAGCAGUGAUUCUCAAUCUUGAGCCUCCAUGGAAAUUACUUGAUUAUUAUCAAGACACAGAUUGCUGGGCUCCAGUCUCAGUAGAUCUAAGGUGGGCCAAUAACUUGCAUUUUUAGAAGUUUCCAAGGUGAAGCUUAUGUCCCUGGUCCAGGAACCACACAUUGAGAACCCCUGACUUAGAGCAUUGCUCCUAAAUUGCACGUUAGAAUCACCUGGGGAGAUUUUAAAAUUGUGCUUAUUUACUGCCCUGCUUCUAGACCAAUUAAAGCAUAACUGAAAAAUAUACCAGGGGCAGAUUGUGUUGAGCCAGUGUUCUAAAUGCAGGUAUAAGAUGGUUCUGGUUAUAUCCAAAAUAAGAACCUUUGUAGGGCAUUAGGAAUGGAAAAAAUGGAAAGCAAUCGAGAGAUACUUAGAUAUUUAAUUUGUAAAACUUAAUAAUGAAAUUUGAGUAGGUAAUGAAGAAAGAAAGGUUGAAGAGGAAAAAAUGUCAAUAUUGACCUCUUUCUGACUUGGGCAAAUACAGCUUUAUAUUGUAUUUAUUUGUACUUAUAUCCUUUUAGAAAUUGGGCAGCAUGCUUAUAUGUAUAGGAAGAGAAACAAUUUUCAAAUGUCUGGUCUAUUACUCCAGGUAAUUUUAAAGACAAAAACUAGACCAAAUAUUUAGCCAUUUCCUUUGGGAAAGUUGUAUAGUUACAAAAUGAACUCACAGAAGCACAAAACACAUACAUACUCCAUCACUGUGCAGUGCUCAGCAUGGCAGGGACAGGUGGUGUCAAUUAUAAAUUCUGUCAGAACACUAAGUAAGUUUUGAGUAUAAGACAGACUUUAUAAUAAUAAUAUUUUAUGUUACAAAACAGUUCAUGGCCUGUACUAGAGAGAUAAUGAUACCAUAGUUUGUUUACCCCAGCUAAAUCCAAAACAGGAAAUAGUGUCUUCCAAUAGGGAGAGCAAUUAGAAUAAUCAUUAAUUAGGGUAUCUGCAUUUCUCUGUGAAGAACUGUUCUUUGUUAGAUAAAAUAAAGCUCUCUGCUUUGAUUAUAGUUACCAUCUUGUGAAAAUAUUGAAUGAGUUUAGAUUCCUAAAGGAAAUUAGAAGUUAGGGAAAAUUCACAUUCAGUUAGAAAUCUUUUCCACUGAAAGAUACUGAUUAGUAAAAAUAAAUAUAGGAGAAUUUCAUUCAUUCCAAGAGAUUAUUACAGGUGACAAGUUUCAAACUGACCUUAAUUGACAAAUUGGAAAAUAUUUUUCCCUGCCAUAGACUACUGUCGGUUCCACUGAAAGUACAAGAUCAUGUGUUAUCUGGACUCAGCUUCCUACUCUUGCUUCUUCUCUCACCAAUCUCCUUACCUCCUACUCCUACCCCUUGAGCUAGAGGGUCCUAGGUAGGGCCCGCACACUACUAUACUCACACCUUGUCAAGUCCACAUGUUCCUGAAAUGCCUCUCCCUUUACCCCUCACCACCUUAUUAAAAUCUUUAUUAAAGCUUGAUUUCCUUUUCAUCACAUGAGAACUCUUUUCCUCAACCCCUUCUCCUCACUCCCCUUCACUCCACCAAAGUGAGGUACCAUUUCAAAGUGUUCCCAUGGCAUACCUCUUUAAAAAUGAACAUCUUUCACUACAUUUUGUCAACUUAUUUAUUUCAGUUUAAUAAUUUAAAUUUUUUGAGAGCAGGUAAGUAUGUUUGAUUCAUCACUAUUAUGGUGGUUGUGUUAAUUUAUUGUUAUGCUACCCCAUCCUAUACCUAGAAAUAAGCAUAGGGUUUAGAACAUAAAGGUAUUUAGUUAAUUAAUUUUUCAGUUAAAUAAAGGUAUUUAUUUAUUUAAAAAAAUGAAUGGAUAUCUAAAAGGACAUGAGGAACAGAGUUCAUUUAACACUAUCAUUAUAGUUAAUAAUCUUUUUUCUUCCAGUAUCAAGAAUAUAUAUGUGGGUAUAUAUAUGUAUAUAUGUACACAUAUUUAUAAUACAUAUAUAUAAAUAUAUCUGUCAGUGGGUAUGCAUUUGAGUUUGUGGGUGUUUCCAGUGGGAAAAUUGGAAUGAUCUUAAUUCAAAUAUAAAAUAUUAUAAAUGGAGGAUGAGAAGUAUAUUGUGUAUUCAUUUGCUUUGGCUGCCAAAACAAAGUGCCACAGAGUACUAUGGCAGAUUGGGUGGCUUAACAGAAAUUAAUUUUCUCACAGUUCUGGAGAUGAGACAUCUGAGACCAGAGUGUUGGCAGGGUUGAUUCCUUCGGAGGUUUUCCUUUUUGGUUUGUAGAUGGCUAUCUUCUCCUUCUCAACUAACUUGGUCUUUGUUCUAUCCAUGUAACUGCCCUAAACUUUUCUGAGAAGAACUCUAUCAUUUAAAUUAAAGCCCACCUUAAUGAUGUUACAUUUAACUUUCAUUACCUCUUUAAAGACCUUGUCUUCCAAUAUAGUCACCUUCUGAGGUACCAGGGUUUAGGACUUGAAUAUAUAAGUUGAAAGGACACAGUUCAGCCCACAACAAGAAACCAUGUGAAGAAUCAGUUUUGAAAGCAAAAAGGGCAAAAAAAAGUGUAGGAGAAUAAAGAGAAGAUGGUCAGAAAAAGGAAAAAAAAAAGACUGGAAAAGUGGAAAAUAGUAAAAAAAUAUAUUAAAAUUGAAGAUUUUAAAAUAUGAUAUAGGCAGACAGGCAGGCAGAUAGACAGACAGAUGAUAGGCAGAUCUGGCUAAAGGAAAUCUGGUAUUUGGUCUCUGAUUUUGCUAUUUUGCUAGCUUGAUAUCCUGUUAUGAAAAACACAAUCAUAGAGCAUCACAGCUGGAAAAGACCUGGAAAAUGUUUUCCAAGCCCUUCUUUUACAGAUAUCAAAAGUGAGAUUCCAACUCUCAUAACUAGUUAGAUACAAAGCCAAGGCUAAAUAAAACCCUGGUGGUUCAUAGCUGGUGAUUUUCACACCAUACUAUUCUUCCAUAUAGUUAUAUGGUUAGAAAAAGUCUGUGAUAUGUGAGAGUCAAGUUGAUAUCUUAAUACUGCUUUCACAGUCCCCACAUCUUCAUAAAGAGUUAUACAUUCAUUUGCUUGCAGGUGAACUAUUCAGUAAUUACAUAUGUAAUUAUUCAUGUAUAUGCACAUGUAACGUACCAAUAAACAUAUAUAUAUUUAUAGCCAUCGUGCCUGAUUAUUUUUUUAAAAUAAUUUCUGUAGCAGUUAUCUAUCUUACACUUUUCUAUAUAUGCAGAAAACAAUGACAAACAGAAUUAGAGAAGACCAAGGAAUUAGUAAAUCAAAACCAUCACUCCCAGAAUUAAAAUAGUUACAUUUCAAAAGCCCCAUGACUGGACCUGUGUGUGUUCAUCCAACCUCAUCUUUUCCUACACACAUAUAACACAUAUUCCAACUAUGCUAGACUGUUUUAUUUUUCCAGAAAAUUCCCUCCUACACCUUGAUUUUUCCCUUUCCUCUCUUGGUCAUACAGUAAAUUACGGAAUUUCUUUUGACUAAACUUCCUCUACCUAAAAUUCCUAAAUUUCCUCGGACAUAAGAGUUGAGUGUAGUCCUUUCAGUACCUUACAUAUAUCUCAAAAAGAAGUUAUAAUAUUGUAGACAUUACUUUCCCAUACUAUUUUUUACCAUUUUAUUAACUCCCUACUCAUAGAAUGCAAAAUAUAAACUCUUGGAGGCCACAAAGUAUGGAUGCAAUAUUUGGAAAGGAAUAUUUACAGAAUAGUUUUCAUGAUUACUAUAGAGCUCUAUACAUACUGGAAUAAAUAUUUAGAUUUUUGAGUCAUGUGUUUACUCUGAGAAACAAUAUUAAUACUCUAUGUUAUAAGCAGUGUAAAUCAGAAAUAUUCAUGUGUGCAUGGGGAUUGAACAUUCAUGAUGUUAAAUAGUUCUUAUAGAGUGCUUUAGAAAUUAAGACAGAUUCCAUUUUAAUAAGUUUUUCUUACAUAAGCUACAUUGUUAAGUUCAUCUUAAGCUAUUCGAAUAUAUAACUUUCAUAUAAAUUUGCAUGAUAUGCAUGUUUAAGAUAUAUGGAAAUGAAAAGCAAAAUCUUGUGAACAGAAGGUGAUAAGAUUUUUUAAAUUUAGCCAUAAUAUUUUUUUUCUCAAGCUUUUUGAAUAUUUUGUUAGCAUUAUUAGAAAACUUAAGCUCUGGAAGAUAAAUCUUUGGAAUUGUUGACUUGGAAACAAGUCAGAUAGCCAAAAUAAAAUUUCACCCUUAAUUAGCAAAGGAUAUAUCUAGACUGAGAUUACACUUUAGAUAAUUUCAAUAUUUCUAAUUGUACAUUUCAAACUUUCUCCAAUUAGUAUUUUAUUAUAAAAAUUAAUUCUAUUUUAAAUUUAUUUUUAGUUGAAGAUGAGAGGAAAAUUGGCUUCAUUGGAGAAAUAUUUUAAAAUAUUUCAUUUAGAAGUUCCUGGACUAAUUUCAUCCUGUUCCUACUUUCCUGAAAAACCUUGUUUAACCCUUUUCACAUUAGCAUUGAUUGCAGUUUCCUUAUUUAUAAUACUGAUGUGAGAUGUCUGUGCCUGUAGUAUUGAGCCCAUAUUUGAACUCCAUGCCUAUUGCUAUCUCCCAUGAAUUUCAUGACAAUAAAGAUCAUGAAUAAAUGAUCAUAUACAUCUUUGUAUCUCUUACAACAAAAUAGAUCUCAAUUCCACAGAAGAUAGAGUUGAAGUUUGAGAUGACAGAAUAAAAACAUGUAGUAGAUGGAAAGCAUACAUGUAGUCCAGACGGGACUUAUAGAGGAAGUGACUCAGAAUGAACCAGGAACUCAACAAGGAAAAUCAAGAUUAUGUGGUAAUGAGUGGCUGGUAAAUUUUGGGAGAUGAGAAAAAGGGACUGGUGAUAGAAGACACCAUGAUAGCAAUCCUCAAAGAAAGCACUAUGGAACACUAAUUAUUCAAUAUGGACUCCCUCUGCUUUUCCCUACCCUUCAGUCUUAUAAGUUAGGAAGAUGCUGCUUACUAUAGUUUCACAGUGUGUAUGCAAGGUGCUUUAGAAUCCUGCAGUAAAGGUAAUUUUUAACCCAGUUUUCCAAACUCAUUUAACCCUGGAAUUCCUUCCACAUCCAGCCAAUAAAAGCUACCAUGUCUAAUGUUUGACUAACUGUUUUUUGAGCUUUUAAAAAGAGCUAAUCAGCCUGAAUAAUUGCGAAGAUGACAAUAAUAUUAGCAGAAGCGGAGAAAUCAGGACUAGGAGCAAUAUGAGAGAGCAGUGGGAAGAGGGUUGUUUUGAGACCUUAACUGGGAAUUCUGGAUGGGCUAUUCAGGUGGGUGUAAAAUGUGGGCAUUUGGGAUAGAGGACUGAAGCUAAGAAAAGAGACAGAAAUAUUUGGGGAUCAUCUAUAUGAGGUUGAUAGUUGAAAUUAGAGAAGAGAACAAGAUUGCAAAGGGAGAGCAUAUACUAACAAUGGAAGGAUAAGAGGACUGUGAAGGAGUAUAGAUGUGUGUGCCUCAUUUAAUACUCUUACCCAGAUCAUGAGGAAAGGUUCAUCCCCAGUUUAGAGAUGAAAAACUAUAGCACACAGAGUUUAAGCAACUUUUUCAAGGUCGCAUAAUUGUAAAUAGAAGACAUCAGAUUUUGACCUCUGCUCUAAAAUUAGCUCUGAGUUUGAUUGUUUCGAUGAAUAUGUAACUAAUACAUUUUUUAAAUUUUUUUUAAUGUUUUCAUUGAGGCACAACAACCAUAUCAUUUUAUUGGGUUUCUUCUUUGAGUUGUUUUUCUUUGAAGAACAAUACAUUUCCAGUUACUGGCCCAAGAGAAAGACAGGAUAUAUUAUUUGGGGUGAACAAUGCCUUCAUUCACAAGAGAUACUUAAUUAUGAACUAGGCUGAUCUCUACACGAUACUGUUUCCCUAAAAAUAAGUACUUGAAAUUGCAUGUGCCAUGUUGAACUUAGGUUGCAGUUAUGGGGAUAAAAAUUAAAAUAAAUGAAAUAUCAAUCUUCCUUCUCUUGUUUUAUUUUAUUUUUUUACUUUAGACACAUAAAAUUAUAUUUAUAGGGACAUAAAAAUGCAUUUUCUAGAUAAUCAUUUCACAUAGUUUGAGUAAUUAUUUUUAAUGACUUUGCAUGGAGAUAAAACAGUUCUGUAAAAUCAAGGUUUGGGAGUUCCCGUCGUGGCUCAGUGGUUAACGAAUCUGACUAGGAACCAUGAGGUUGCGGGUUCGAUCCGUGGUCUUGCUCAGUGGGUUAAGGAUCCGGCAUUGCCGUGAGCUGUGGUGUAGGUUGCAGAUGCAGCUAGGAUCCUGCGUUGCUGUGGCUCUGGCAUAGGCUGGCGGCUACAGCUCCUAUUAGAUUAGACCCCCUAGCCUGGGAACUCCAUAUGCCAUGGGAACAGCCCUAGAAAAGGCAAAANAAAAAAAAAAAAAAAAAAAAAAAAAAAA